This is a long non-coding RNA of Mangifera indica (mango), 698 nucleotides long. RefSeq lists it as uncharacterized. The record is from RefSeq and is a predicted model, not a curated record. NCBI's taxonomy places the organism in Eukaryota, Viridiplantae, Streptophyta, Magnoliopsida, Sapindales, Anacardiaceae. The transcript has 2 exons.
UGGCCGGCUUUCUGUCUCUUUCUUCAUCACAUCACAAUCUUUCCAACUAGAUUCCUUCACACUCUCACUCUUCUUCCUCCUAUAAAUUCAAUUAAUUUGGUUAAUUUUCUUCAGUAAGAUCAAAAGGGUAUUUUGUUUGACAAAUUUUAAGUCCUCCCAUGCCUUCUAACUAUUCCUACUGUAACUCAAAUGGCCAAAACUCAAGAGGAGUGGCCAUGGUGUUGGCCUUAAUAUCAGCAGUAGUGUUGCUAAACAAGGUAUGUCUGGGAGUGAGGAUAGACUAAACAAAUCAAAGUAUGACCAGGGUAUGACUUUUCUUUUCACUCAAUUAGGCGGGAGCUCCUGUUAUGAAUCCUGUUCAGACACUCCGGCAUUCUUCGUCCUGUGGUUCUUGGUGGCUUAUAAUUCCUAUUAGAACGACUUCCUUUCAGCUUCUGAUACAUUUAUUCCAUCUCCUGAUCUUUCUUGGGUGCUAAGAAUCGGGAGCUCAUCAUGGGAGCUUCCUGUGGUCUUGGUCUUGCCCAUGCUUGUGCUUUCAUGGCAGGAUUCUGUCCAAGAUUUCUUCUGGAAAUAAGAGAGAUUUAGAGGUUGAAUUAAACUACUUAUAAUCAAUUGUUAUAUUUGAUGAUCAUUUUGAUUGUGAAAUUUCAUGCUUUAUAAAACUUAGCUCCUUAGAUGCAAAAUCAAAUCUUCAAUUA